AUACCUUUCUCGGCCUUUUGGCUAAGAUCAAGUGUAGUAUCUGUUCUUAUCAGUUUAAUAUCUGAUAUGUGGGCCAUUGGCUCACACGAUAUUAAAUUUAUUUUUUGAGGGGGAAGUUCCAUCACAGUAGCUUGCUGCUGGGUUCUUCGCGUGUCGCCUUUGCGUUGCACUUCUGCAUCGGCCUGGCACACCCCAC
Molecule: non-coding RNA, 196 nt
Organism: Daucus carota subsp. sativus
Lineage: Eukaryota; Viridiplantae; Streptophyta; Magnoliopsida; Apiales; Apiaceae
Source: Rfam